AGAAAGAUGGCCGCUGGCAUGCUCUGGCCUAGAAUGCCAUGCUUUAGGCUGGAAAGCAGGCUCCGAAAGAGGGAGGGGAAGGGAAGCUCAUGAGGUGCCCCACUCCUCCCCCUCCCAAUGAAGCACAGAGCCUGGUGGCUAAAUUCUUCUCGACUCUGGACCGUACCUUAUCCACCAUGGCACACGGCUCUCCCUCCCAACAACCCCUGGCACUGUUGCCAGCAUGUCUUUUGCUGUACAGGCUCUCUUGCAUGCGUGCCUCACUUUGUGAGGUAGGUGGGCCCGGAAAGGGAGAGGAAAGCCCCAACCUCCAGCCAAGCUUCCUUUCCCAGGCAAAAGAAGCCACCUUCCAGCCUCCGGAGCAUUUGCGAACCUUGAGCCCCCUACCCUGCAAAUCUGGUAGCUAGCCCCUGCGCAUGCGCGCCCCGCUUCGAGUGGAACAGCAGACCCCGUACGGAGGCGGGGAAGAAAGAAUCUGAGGCCCCGCCUCCAUAGGUUCGGCCGCCCCCGGUUAAUAAACUGGGGGCGAUUGUGCCCCAGGGAACGUCCCGAGUUAUGUCCGCUGCCUCCGCCCUCCUUUUCUUACCUUGGUGAGGUCAGUUUGGCUCCCAGGCUCUGGCCCUUCCCCAGCCUCCCUGGCUCCAGCCACGUGGACCUCUUCUAGCGGGAAGACGCGGCUCCGCCCCCAAGACCCGUGCGCAGGCGCAGUGUGCAGCCUACCCACGCAAACUGUAGGAGGGAGAACCUCGAGGUGGCUGGUGCUCCUGGGGUGUGGUUGGUUGACAUAUCAAUUGCACAGAGAAAGCCGCAGGUCCUAGAGACAUCGAGAUCCAGGGGGAAUCAAUCAGCUCUCCCUUCCAGACACUUCACCAGGACCAGAAAGAUGGAAGCUGGUCCAACAACUUCAGAUGGAUUUUUCGUGUACCCCAGGGAACUCUACGGCCAUAGCAGAGCAGGUGCUAUUCGGCGUUGGUAUAGAGAGCUUCCUGUACUGGUGAAAUCAGUCAAGAAACGAGCUUCCCAAGAGAACUGGCAUGAAUCUGACUCAGAAGAAAGGGAGGGAAAGAAAAAGAAGAUCUAUGAAUGGACUGUAACCGAAGUGGGAGAUACUUGGAUUAAGAUGAAGCAUACAAAAGAAGCUUCCUUCAGCUCCAAAAACCUUGCUGCCCUCUCCCAACUUCUGAAGGAUCCAGUCAUUAAAAAAUUCCUUGCGACUGAUAUGAAAUGCUAUUCCACUAAUAAGGUAAGUAUAGUCCCCAGGGUUAAACCAUUAUGGGAAAAUAUAAAGCAUAGAAGAGUGUCUCAUGGGUAGCUUCGAGCCCUCGUAAGGAGAAUUAGUAAUAGAACGUGGCAAAUUAGAAUUCACUGGUUUCUCUCAAGAUGGUGCAACCAAGAGAAAGCAAAGAGGGACAUGGGGUUAGAAGUUGACCCUAGGAUGGCAGGCACUUACUUCCAGACCAUUUGUACUUCCUCUAUCAUUGUUCCCAAACCUUUGCUUUUUUUUUUUAAACCCUUACCUUCUGUCUUGGAGUCAAUACUGUGUAUUGGCUCCAAGGCAGAAGAGUGGUAAGGGCUAGGCAAUGGGGGUCAAGUGACUUGCCCAGGGUCACACAGCUAGGAAGUGGCUGAGGCCGGAUUUGAACCUAGGACCUCCCGUCUCUAGGCCUGGCUCUCAAUCCACUGAGCGACCUAGCUGCCCCCAGCCAAACCUUUGCUUUUUACUUCACCUGGUACCCCCACUCAACCUCCCUGAUUGUUCUUGCAC
RNAcentral lists this long non-coding RNA (1765 nucleotides) under Monodelphis domestica (gray short-tailed opossum). Its description in RNAcentral is "lncRNA (ENSMODG00000033420.2)". Lineage: Eukaryota; Metazoa; Chordata; Mammalia; Didelphimorphia; Didelphidae. The record is from RNAcentral.